AUGCAGCACCGUGCACUCCGCCUCCUCCGUGUCGUCCGCACCCACCCAACGCACACUACGUUGUGUUGGCC
Xanthomonas campestris pv. campestris is the source of this 71-nucleotide small RNA. It matches the Rfam family "Xanthomonas sRNA sX9". Lineage: Bacteria; Pseudomonadati; Pseudomonadota; Gammaproteobacteria; Lysobacterales; Lysobacteraceae. The record is from Rfam.